GACGAACGCUGGCGGCGUGGAUAAGACAUGCAAGUCGAACGCUGACUUCAGGGUAGCAAUAUUCUGGAGUCGGAGUGGCGCAAGGGUGCGUAACACGUGGGUAAUUUGCCGCGAAGUCUGGGAUAACUUGCUGAAAGGCGAGCUAAUACCGGAUGUGAUGUUUGGGAGGCAUCUCCUGAAUCUCAAAGUUGGGACCGGUAAGGCCUGACGCUUCUACGAUAAGCCCGCCGGCCUAUCAGCUAGUUGGUGAGGUAACGGCUCACCAAGGCUAAGACGGGUAGCUGGUCUGAGAGGACGACCAGCUCACUGGAACUGAGACACGGUCCAG
Molecule: ribosomal RNA, 328 nt
Filed under: uncultured bacterium
Lineage: Bacteria
Description: bacterial SSU rRNA
Rfam family: Bacterial small subunit ribosomal RNA
Source: RNAcentral